Molecule: long non-coding RNA, 327 nt
Organism: Trifolium pratense (red clover)
Lineage: Eukaryota; Viridiplantae; Streptophyta; Magnoliopsida; Fabales; Fabaceae
Exons: 2
Source: RefSeq, a predicted model, not a curated record
AGGGAGACGUGACUAUUGCUGCAAAAGCUGGCUUGAAAUUGGAAAUUCCAGAUGGGGUUGUAAUUGAGAAUAAGGAGAUUAAUGACCCUGCAGAUAUCCAAAAAUGAAUGGUUCAUGGAAGUUGAUGAUAUUUGUUUGUAGCAAAUAUGUGAAUUGCUGGAGUUUUGCUUUGAUGUGCAAUACAAUUUAUCUUUGGCACAUUAGCAGCCCGCCAUCAAUUAGCUUUUCUAUUUACUCAUUUUCAAAAGGUUGCAGAAGCAAAUAAUUUCUGACACAUUCUUUUUUCAAGUGUCAUGGUGGUAAUGAAAUAAUUGAGUCUACUCAUUU